AUGAAAAUCCUAGGCUGGAACUGUCGUGGCAUGCUCUCCCCCACGGCAGUUCGCGAGCUCUUGGAUUUACAAGGGCGCAUCAAGGCGGAUUUGAUUUUUCUUUCUGAGUCUCAUUUGAAUAAAUGUAAAGCCGAUGAGCUGCGUAGUGUUCUAAGUUUUGAGUCGAUGUUUGUAGCUGAGUGUGAUGGUCGGGCCGGUGGCCUUGUUUUAUUU
This 213-nucleotide ribosomal RNA is filed under the name Triticum aestivum (bread wheat). RNAcentral describes it as "partial small subunit ribosomal RNA". The record is from RNAcentral. Lineage: Eukaryota; Viridiplantae; Streptophyta; Magnoliopsida; Poales; Poaceae.